UAUAUAUGAAAGAGUUUUAUAUCAAAGAUCAGAAAACGAAACUUGGGAAAAAAAUAAAAAAACCAUUCACGAGCAAAAAUUUGAAACAAAAAAUAUGGAAAUUAAAAAAAGCCCAAGACAAAUUUGAAAGAAAAAUUGGAAGAAUUUUUUUUAAAAAAAAAUGAGAAAUUAACAAUCAGGAACAAAAUUUCGAAACAACAUUUCAAAAAAAAC
Molecule: long non-coding RNA, 213 nt
Filed under: Setaria viridis
Lineage: Eukaryota; Viridiplantae; Streptophyta; Magnoliopsida; Poales; Poaceae
Description: long non-coding RNA (SVIR_LNC005249)
Source: RNAcentral